CAGCCGCCGCGGUAAUACCAGCACCUCGAGUGGUCAGGAGGUUUAUUGGGCCUAAAGCAUCCGUAGCCGGUUGCAUAAGUUUUCGGUUAAAUCUAUGCGCUUAACGUAUAGGCCGCCGAAAAUACUGUGCAGCUAGGGAGUGGGAGAGGUACACGGUACUCGAUAGGAAGGGGUAAAAUCCUUUGAUCUAUUGAUGACCACCUGUGGCGAAGGCGGUGUACCAGAGCACGUUCGACGGUGAGGGAUGAAAGCUGGGGGAGCAAACCGGAUUAGAUACCCCCGUAGUCCCUGUCUCUUAUAC
This 301-nucleotide ribosomal RNA is filed under the name uncultured bacterium. Its description in RNAcentral is "partial 16S ribosomal RNA". It matches the Rfam family "Archaeal small subunit ribosomal RNA", at positions 459 to 760 of the family's 1478-position model. The record is from RNAcentral.